Molecule: non-coding RNA, 4543 nt
Organism: Myodes glareolus (Bank vole)
Lineage: Eukaryota; Metazoa; Chordata; Mammalia; Rodentia; Cricetidae
Source: RefSeq, a predicted model, not a curated record
CAGGCUAGCUGCUCCAUCCUGCAUCCUGCCACCCUGCCCCAUCCUACCACCCGUCUCCUCCCGCUGCUCCUCCCCUGGGCUGUGUCACCUUCUGCCGCUCUACCCAGGUCCUACUACUACCUUCUUCUUUAUUCUACUCAUUUUACCCUUUACCCAAUUAUUCAUUUUUUCAGCCAUAAUUUCUUCAUUGUUUACUGGGUCCCAUGCUAGGCUUACAGUCAGUGCAAAGAGGCAAGUCUUACAAUAAAAGAAGUUGGAAGACAGCACAAGACAUGUCAACAAUCAGUGGAUGACAGGUGAAAUCACGCACUGGGUGAGCGCUUCCUUCUUGAGGAACACAUGGGAUGUGGAAGCUGAGUGUUUAGACAGCCAACGUGGAUUAGCCCUGCUUUCAAGUGUUGCUCAGAACCAGGCAUUACAGCAUCCAACCCCCCAGGGAUCAUGUUCAUAUACAGACUGCGAUCCAGUGGGGAACGCCUGAAAGUCUGCCUUUCUCACACGCAUCUGCUGCUGGUGGUCUACAGACCACACGGUGAGGAACAGUGGCAUGGUUGGUGGUAGGAUUGCAAAUCUGCACAUAUGCAGCCACCAAAAAGAAAAGAAAAAAGAGGCGCCAAGAACUGUGUGUGGAGAGCCGAGAGCACUGAAGCCUGGGCUUCUCACCUGGAUUCCUUAGCAGCUCUGGGAACUCCAGCCUUUGAAUGUUUUCUGGCCUCAGCCCGCGUCUCAGAAGCGCUGGCCAGUUCUCUCUAGUCUGCCUCUGGCUACAGCCUAUCUAGCCUGGGCCAGACUGGGGCUAAGUGACAAGGGACAGGUGCAGAGUUACAGGCAUGCUCAGAAAUUCCACUGGUGCCUGCGACAGCCAGGCAAAGCCUGGGGAGCAUCCAUGCUCCCCUUCAGACCUCAGCCCGCCAGCAGUGGCCCAGCUUUCCCUGCAGCCGUCACUUGAGCGGCUUCCAGGCAAGUGAUGGUGAUGACAUGUCGCUCCCCAGAGAUCCUCCAUUGCUCUCUGGGAUGUAAGAAUGUCCAUAGACACGGAGCCAGACAACCCAGAAAGGCAAGUUAUUUCUGCUAAUUAGUAUCUACAUACGUGCAAAAAUGGUCGCAAAGCUGCAGAACCCCUGGCACUUCACCAGUCGCUGAAGCCACGCUCUGCAGUGUUGUAGCUUUGUUCCAAGUGCUCGUGACAUCCUUUCUUCAUCCAACCCUCCGCACAGCCACAGGGUUCUCAUAGCAUCCUCUCCUCACAGCGUCUCAGUGCAUGUGAGGUCGCUGUUGGUUUUCCUUCCAGGAAGAAGCAGUACAAGGCUAUCAGGGUCCCUGCAGGUGAUCGCUUCACUUUGUUUAAGGAGACUUCAAGGAUGGGUUGGCACAUAGACUCACAAAAGAGUACUGUGUGGGAAGAUGCACAUGUUGACAAACGGGGCAGAUUUUGAGCAUACAAGUGAGGUCAUGUGAUGGGCUUACGGAUGUGGCUGGACUUCUAAGGAGGCUCGCCACACACCAGGUGUGUCUUAUUUGACCUUUCAGCUGUGUCUAUUCUGAUUGGGUGUCGGGGGAGGGGGGGGACUAACACGCUGUCAGCUGCCCAGCCUUGAAUUAUAUUUUGUCACAUCCACCUGUGACUAUGGCUUCUGGAGGUCAAAGCUUCUGCCUAUAAUUACUGAGGACUAAUACAGUCUUGAGACUCAGGGGUCCCUCUGUGUCUGUUCCUGCUAGGGUACCAAACACAGCUUCAUUAAAGGCCAGUUCAUAUGGUGCCAGCUAAACCCUGGCCAGCCCUGCCCAGUGCCUCUUAGGAGUUCUUUGGCUGUUCUAUUUGACACUGAUUCUGGAGACUUGACGAAGCUCCCACCCCCUCAGGCUCUUGAAGUGCUCUCCCAGGUAGACCAGUUGGCCAAGGACAUGCCUCAAAGGAGAAGCAAGCCCUCAUGGUCUAGGGAGGGGGCAUCUUCUGAUGUUCCAUGGUUGGGCUGUAGUAGAUACAAGUAUCGUUUUUCACCCAAAGACAUUUCUCUUUAUACUUUGCUCUUAAAUUUUUUCCAUAUAGGUGUAUGAAUGUUUUACUUGCAUAUAUAUCUAUGUAUCACAUGCAUGCCUGGUACACAAGGAGGUCGGACAAAGGCACCAGAUUCCCUGCAACUGGAGUUAAAAACAGUUGUAAGUCACUCUGUGGGUGCUGGGAAUUGAGCCUGGGUCCUCUGUAAGAGCAGAAGUGCCCUUAGCUGCAGAGCUAUCUCUCCAGCCCGCCCCUCUUUGGUUUCUUUUGUCCUCCUUCUAGUGUCCAAUAGGAUGUGUUCCCUCUGACCAUAUCCCUACCUCCCCGAGCAUGAUGCCAUCUCCUUCCUUCAUUUGCUCUUCAGUAUCUCUUGUUGUGUCCUUCCAGGCAGCAGGGUAGGGCAGUUGGUGCACAGGCUUUGGGUUGACUGUUUGGGCUCAGAUCCUAGCCCUGUCACUGAGGAGUUGCACGUCCUUGCUGUAUCCUUAUUUCAUACUUUCUGAGCCCAGUUUCAUCCUCUGUAAGUGGGAGAGAGCAGAAAACAUUUCUACAUUGCUAUCAGGAUUAAAAGAGACAGCUCAUGAGCUCAGUAACUACUCCUUAUCAGUAACUACGAUAGCAGCUCCAGUUAAGGCCAUACUGUAUGCUGCCUGUAGCAAUAGAGCCAGGGGGACUUGCUGAUGGGGUUGAAGACCGAGGCCCCUAGCUGAUGAGUGGGGUAAUGCAUUGACUAUUGACUGGGUGCCAGGCCCUGACUUAGAGGCUCCAUCUCAUCACUUCAGGUGCUGUGAACUCAGAGUUAAUAGAAUGUGGAAAUAGAACUUGUUGUGAGGUAACUUGAAAUGAAGGAUAAGCGGAAAUCCAUGGGGUUUGAUUUCUUUGUUUUCUCUUAGCUAGCAGAUACGAGGACCGUGAGAUGAACUGCGGAAAGACAAACGCAUGCUAUCUCCUGGGGAAAACCUGAUCCUCAGGCGGGCCGUGGUGCUGGCCUGAACUCUUCCAUAGGGACCCAAGCAACUCACUCACAGGCAUGAGGUCAAGAUCAAGAAAAGGAAGCAGUCUCAGAGAGCCCAAGAGCUUUGCUGAAGAUCACACAGCUAGAGAGGGAGCCGCUAGACCUAACUCAAGCUUUCUGAUACCUGCUCCUGUGUUCUGUACAUUCUUCUCUCGGGGGAGAGUGGCAGGUGCUCUGUGCUCACAGAGCUGGGUGCCACGUGAGAGCAGAAGGGAGAGUUGUACACCUUGGGCUAGCCUCAGCUAGUUAAAAACUGCCUUUCAGAACCCAGAGAUUCUCCCUGAAGCUCUUCAUGGUCGGGCAAUUGCCUCUUGAUCCUUAGAACCAGACCUGCUGGGCCUUUGAACAUCUGCAGGCUGGGAAGGGGUCUGCGAUGCCUAUUCCAGCUGUCUCCAGGCUCCUGCCCCAGAAGCUGCAGACAAGCCAAUUAGAGGUCUCCAGAGAGGCCAGACCCUAGGCUUGUUAGAAGAGGACCGCCUGGGCUUGGGUCCGAAGAUUCCAGUCUCUUCUGGAAGCUGACAGAGCUUUUGCUCAGCCUCCUGCCUUGAUCGCUCUUUCUCGCCAGUAGACUUCUACUUCCUGGGACUGAAGUUGUUGAUAUAUCCCAGGCCCUCUUCCCCAGGCCCCUUUCCCUUGCACCCUGGCUUUGAGGUCCAGCUGACUACUCUGUUCUCCAGCCUGGCUGUCCCAAUAGCCAAGAAGUAGCUGCGGUUAUCAGGAGGCGCCGCUGUUCCUUGAAGCUUGGGAAAAUACCCUGCUCUUGACCUUGACCCCUGAGUGAAGAAGAAUGUUGAGGCUAGGGCUUGAAUAGGGUCUGCUGACCUGGCAGGCUGCCUGUCUAUGCCUUGGGGUGAGUGGUGGGGACAGGCGGGGUGGAGGAGAUCAGCGAUUCUCCCAGCACAGAACUUCAGGGGGUAACACCUCAUCCUGGUGUCUCCCCACCCCUUCCCCACUCGGUGCCACAGCUUUGGGGUUGUGGAGACUGUUCUUGUCAUUCAUGAACUGCUAAGAUGAGCCAUGUCCUGGGAACUCGUCCCGAUAUCACAUUGUCUCUGACAAGGCUGGUGAGCUGCCCAGAGUUAACUGAGCAACACUGGAGGUGAACCGCUGGUGAAGUUCAGGAAUCUUGUCUUAAAAAUGGCAAGCGUGGACUGGAAAGCUAGCGCCAACAGUUAAAAGGCAGCCGUUAUUCUCGCAGAGAAUCCAGAUUCAAUUUCCAGCGUCUGCAGGGUGGCUCACAACCACCUGUGACUCCAGUUUCAGGGAUCCAGCCCCCAUUUCUGACCCCCUUGGACACCAGGCAUAUAUGCGGUACACAAGCAUGCGUGCAGACAAAACAAUUAUAAGCAUAAAAUAAAAUAAAUGUCUGAAAAUAAAUUUAAUGGCUAACAGGGCUGGCUGGGACAGUGGCUUUUAGUUUUUCUUGGUUUGGUUAUUCUUGAGACAGUCUUGGUCUAUAGUUCAGGUUGUUCUCAAACUUGUUAUCUCCUGCCUUAGCAGCCCAAGCAGGUCCCUCACACAAGGUCUAG